AGUGGACUCAAGGACAAUCUCACUUUCUCAUCCAUCUCUUUGUGAUAAAAUGACAGGCAUUUCAAGAGACAAGAGGCAGGCUGCUGCCCACUCAAAAGUACCAUUCCACCCAUCAGGCAGAGCUCCCAAAUUAAGGAUCAUAGCAAUUACACACAAGCAACAGCAUGGAAAAGAAGCCAGUGCUGCAGAGGUGAUCUGAAUCCAGGAAGAAAGGGAAGAUGCCUUCAAUCAAAAAUACAUUAUAUAUAAUAUAAAUUAUACAUAUUUUAUAUCUGUAUAUAUUAUAUAUACAUAUAAAAAUAUGGGGACUGGGCACAGUGGCUCAUGCCUAUAAUCCCAGCACCUUGGGAGGCUGGGGCAGGAGGAUCACUUGA
This 374-nucleotide long non-coding RNA is filed under the name Pan troglodytes (chimpanzee). Its description in RNAcentral is "lincRNA". Lineage: Eukaryota; Metazoa; Chordata; Mammalia; Primates; Hominidae. The record is from RNAcentral.